CCUACGGGUGGCAGCAGUGGGGGAUAUUGCACAAUGGGGGAAACCCUGAUGCAGCGACGCCGCGUGUGGGAAGACGGUCCUCUGGAUUGUAAACCACUUUUCCCAGGGACGAAGAUGACGGUACCUGGGGUGGAAGCUCCGGCUAACUACGUGCCAGCAGCCGCGGUAAUACGUAGGGAGCGCGCGUUUUCCGGAAUUACUGGGUGUAAAGGGAGCGUAGGCGGGUAUGCAAGUUGGGUGGCAAAACUACCGGUGAAACUGGUAGUCGCACGCCAAAAUGCAGCUCUUGCGUGAAGUAGAGGCAGGCGGAAUUCCUAGUGUAGCGGUGAAAUGCGUAGAUAGUAGGAGGAACACCAGUGGCGAAGGCGGCCUGCUGGGCUUUUACUGACGCUGAGGCUCGAAAGUGUGGGGAGCAAACAGGAUUAGAUACCCGGGUAGUG
RNAcentral lists this ribosomal RNA (440 nucleotides) under uncultured bacterium. RNAcentral's name for it is "partial 16S ribosomal RNA". It matches the Rfam family "Bacterial small subunit ribosomal RNA", at positions 338 to 795 of the family's 1533-position model. The record is from RNAcentral.